This 85-nucleotide transfer RNA is filed under the name Pyricularia oryzae. RNAcentral's name for it is "tRNA-Gly". It matches the Rfam family "tRNA". Rfam says of the family: Transfer RNA (tRNA) molecules are approximately 80 nucleotides in length. Their secondary structure includes four short double-helical elements and three loops (D, anti-codon, and T loops). Further hydrogen bonds mediate the characteristic L-shaped molecular structure. tRNAs have two regions of fundamental functional importance: the anti-codon, which is responsible for specific mRNA codon recognition, and the 3' end, to which the tRNAs corresponding amino acid is attached (by aminoacyl-tRNA synthetases). tRNAs cope with the degeneracy of the genetic code in two manners: having more than one tRNA (with a specific anti-codon) for a particular amino acid; and 'wobble' base-pairing, i.e. permitting non-standard base-pairing at the 3rd anti-codon position. Lineage: Eukaryota; Fungi; Ascomycota; Sordariomycetes; Magnaporthales; Pyriculariaceae. The record is from RNAcentral.
GCAUCAGUGGUGUAGUGGUAAAAUCCAUCGUUGCCAUUCUACGAAUACAUUCGAUGGGCCCCGUGUUCGAUUCACGGCUGAUGCA